UCAAACUUGGUCAUUUAGAGGAAGUAAAAGUCGUAACAAGGUUUCCAUAGGUGAACCUGUGGAAGGAUCAUUACUGAAUAAAGCAUGGUUGGGGGUUGUUGCUGGCAUGGCAUUCUUGUAAUGCAUGUGCACACCUCUGCCACUCUGUCAUUCACCCUCUCCACCUGUGCAUUCUAUUGUAGGCCAGAUUGCCAUUUCUCGCUGGUGGUUCUCUUGAACGCUCUUGCGUCUUGGGGCUUGCUGUUGCAGUGACAGCUCUUCUCGUUGGCAUCUUGGUCUAUGCUCUUUUUGCCCAAACACCCCCACAUUUUUGUUUUGUAUAUGUAUGGACAAUAAGCUUUGUUAAAGCAUAUGUGUGUGUGCACAACUUUCAACAACGGAUCUCUUGGCUCUUGCAUCGAUGAAGAACGCAGC
RNAcentral lists this unclassified non-coding RNA (414 nucleotides) under uncultured fungus. RNAcentral describes it as "partial contains small subunit ribosomal RNA, internal transcribed spacer 1, and 5.8S ribosomal RNA". The stretch from base 1 to 73 matches the Rfam family "Eukaryotic small subunit ribosomal RNA", at positions 1759 to 1831 of the family's 1831-position model. The record is from RNAcentral. Lineage: Eukaryota; Fungi.